Small nuclear RNA from Nicotiana attenuata, 139 nucleotides. It matches the Rfam family "U1 spliceosomal RNA". Rfam says of the family: U1 is a small nuclear RNA (snRNA) component of the spliceosome (involved in pre-mRNA splicing). Its 5' end forms complementary base pairs with the 5' splice junction, thus defining the 5' donor site of an intron. The record is from Rfam. Lineage: Eukaryota; Viridiplantae; Streptophyta; Magnoliopsida; Solanales; Solanaceae.
AAAAAUAUCAUCGUGAAUGGGCGAUCAAGAAGGCCCAUGGCCUAGGCUGGUGACUUCCAUUGCACUUUGGAGGGAUGCCAGCCUAAGGUCGGCCCAAGUGAUCGAGCCUACGUCAUAAUUUGUGGCAGAGAGGGCCUGC